UACGGAGGGUGCAAGCGUUAUCCGGAUUCACUGGGUUUAAAGAGCGUGUAGGCGGCCUUUUAAGUCCUGCGUGAAAUCCUGCGGCUCAACCGCAGACGGUCGUGGGAAACUGGAAGGCUAGAGUGCGGGAGAGGAGAGUGGAAUUCCCGGUGUAGCGGUGAAAUGCGCAGAUAUCGGGAGGAACACCGGUGGCGAAGGCGGCGACCUGGGACAAUACUGACACUGAGGUGCGAAAGCGUGGGGAGCAAACAGG
RNAcentral lists this ribosomal RNA (253 nucleotides) under uncultured bacterium. RNAcentral's name for it is "partial 16S ribosomal RNA". It matches the Rfam family "Bacterial small subunit ribosomal RNA", at positions 524 to 776 of the family's 1533-position model. The record is from RNAcentral.